CUGCUGCCUCCCGUAGGAGUCUGGGCCGUGUCUCAGUCCCAGUGUGGCCGUCCACCCUCUCAGGCCGGCU
Molecule: ribosomal RNA, 70 nt
Filed under: uncultured bacterium
Lineage: Bacteria
Description: partial 16S ribosomal RNA
Source: RNAcentral